This 1293-nucleotide ribosomal RNA is filed under the name Alionycteris paucidentata (Mindanao pygmy fruit bat). RNAcentral's name for it is "partial 16S ribosomal RNA". It matches the Rfam family "Bacterial large subunit ribosomal RNA", at positions 686 to 2724 of the family's 2925-position model. Lineage: Eukaryota; Metazoa; Chordata; Mammalia; Chiroptera; Pteropodidae. The record is from RNAcentral.
AACUUGACAAAGAGAACUUAAGCCAAAUAACCCGAAACCAGACGAGCUACCCAAGAGCAGCUAAAGAGCAAACUCAUCUGUGUGGCAAAACAGCGAGAANGACUUCUGGGUAGAGGUGAAAAGCCUACCGAGCCUGGUGAUAGCUGGUUGUCCAGAACAGAAUUUAAGUUCGACUUUAAGCCAUGCCUAAAAGACCUAUAACUUAAAUGCAGGCCUAAAAUAUAAUCUAAAAGGGUACAGCCUUUUAGAAGCAGGAUACAACCUUUAAUAGAGAGUAAGUACAUAAAAUACCCAUAGUUGGCCUAGAAGCAGCCACCAAUUAAGAAAGCGUUCAAGCUCAAAACCCCCACCCAACCCUAAUUCAAACAGUAACCUACGAACCCCUAACCUAAUACUGGACUAUUCUAUAAUACCAUAGAAGAAACACUGUUAAUAUUAGUAACAAGAAUAACAUUCUCCCCCGCACAAGCCUAUAUCAGAACGGAUAUUACACUGAUAGUUAACAAUAAGAUAAACUCACCCCACAACUAGAAUACUUAUCAAAUCAAUUGUUGACCCAACACAGGUGUGCCCCAAGGAAAGAUUAAAAGAAGUAAAAGGAACUCGGCAAACACAAACCCCGCCUGUUUACCAAAAACAUCACCUCCAGCAUACCAACUAUUGGAGGCACUGCCUGCCCAGUGACACUUGUUUAACGGCCGCGGUAUCCUGACCGUGCAAAGGUAGCAUAAUCAUUUGUUCUCUAAAUAAGGACUUGUAUGAAUGGCCCCACGAGGGUUUAGCUGUCUCUUACUUCCAAUCAGUGAAAUUGACCUUCCCGUGAAGAGGCGGGAAUAAGUAAAUAAGACGAGAAGACCCUAUGGAGCUUUAAUUAACUAACCCAUAAGUAAAAACAACCAUCCAAGGAUACAAAACCUAAUUUAAUGGGUUAAUAAUUUAGGUUGGGGCGACCUCGGAGUACAAAACAACCUCCGAGUGAUUAAAAUCUAGACCUACAAGUCAAAAUAUCUAAUCAUUAAUUGAUCCAAAAACUUGAUCAACGGAACAAGUUACCCUAGGGAUAACAGCGCAAUCCUACUUGAGAGUCCAUAUCGAUAGCAGGGUUUACGACCUCGAUGUUGGAUCAGGACACCCCAAUGGUGCAGCCGCUAUUAAAGGUUCGUUUGUUCAACGAUUAAAGUCCUACGUGAUCUGAGUNUCAGACCGGAGUAAUCCAGGUCGGUUUCUAUCUAUUUAUGCGUUCCUCCCAGUACGAAAGGACAAGAGAAACAAGGCCAACUUAACACAAGCGCC